UACGAAGGGGGCUAGUGUUGCUCGGAAUUACUGGGCGUAAAGCGCACGUAGGCGGCUUUCUAAGUCGGGGGUGAAAUCCUGGAGCUCAACUCCAGAACUGCCUUCGAUACUGGAGAGCUUGAGUCCGGGAGAGGUGAGUGGAACUGCGAGUGUAGAGGUGAAAUUCGUAGAUAUUCGCAAGAACACCAGUGGCGAAGGCGGCUCACUGGCCCGGUACUGACGCUGAGGUGCGAAAGCGUGGGGAGCAAACAGG
RNAcentral lists this ribosomal RNA (253 nucleotides) under uncultured bacterium. RNAcentral describes it as "partial 16S ribosomal RNA". It matches the Rfam family "Bacterial small subunit ribosomal RNA", at positions 524 to 776 of the family's 1533-position model. The record is from RNAcentral.